RNAcentral lists this long non-coding RNA (499 nucleotides) under Heterocephalus glaber (naked mole-rat). Its description in RNAcentral is "lncRNA (ENSHGLG00100048123.1)". Lineage: Eukaryota; Metazoa; Chordata; Mammalia; Rodentia; Bathyergidae. The record is from RNAcentral.
AACAUGACUUCUUAGGGGGAAAAUUAGGGUAAAUGGUGUUUUUUUAAAACAAACAAACAAACAAACACUGAUUUACUUUUGUUAAAGGAUUAUGCCUCAAGAGGCACAUGGGAAGAGACCUGGCUGUUAUUUUAGUUGCUCACCAGGAAGAUGUCUCCAAGUCAAAUACCAGUGGGUGUUCAGCUUUCCUUGUAUAAUCAGGCUCUUUUUAUUAGCUCCACACCAAAGAGGUCUGCUCACCCCAUCUAUCCAUCAUCUCUUACAACACCGAGCAUUUCCUAUGUGCAUAACCCUGAGCUCAAUGUUGAAAUCCAGCAUUGAAGAUGGCCAGUGAUUCCUGCCAUCCUGUUCUAGGAGAUGAGACAGACAUUAAAUGACUGAUAACCUCAUUAAGUAUGCUCAAGUUGACCUCCUAGAAGUCAGCCUAGGAGUUCUUAGUGGAAGAGGAACCCAGCUUCUCCCCAGACUCAUUGGAAUUCCAACUUCACUUGAUUUAAUU